GAUGAACGCUGGCGGCGUGCCUAAUACAUGCAAGUCGAGCGAACAGACGAGGAGCUUGCUCCUCUGACGCUAGCGGCGGACGGGUGAGUAACACGUGGAUAACCUACCUAUAAGACUGGGAUAACUUCGGGAAACCGGAGCUAAUACCGGAUAAUAUAUUGAACCGCAUGGUUCAAUAGUGAAAGACGGUUUUGCUGUCACUUAUAGAUGGAUCCGCGCCGCAUUAGCUAGUUGGUAAGGUAACGGCUUACCAAGGCAACGAUGCGUAGCCGACCUGAGAGGGUGAUCGGCCACACUGGAACUGAGACACGGUCCAGACUCCUACGGGAGGCAGCAGUAGGGAAUCUUCCGCAAUGGGCGAAAGCUUGACGGAGCAACGCCGCGUGAGUGAUGAAGGUCUUCGGAUCGUAAAACUCUGUUAUUAGGGAAGAACAAAUGUGUAAGUAACUAUGCACGUCUUGACGGUACCUAAUCAGAAAGCCACGGCUAACUACGUG
Molecule: ribosomal RNA, 497 nt
Filed under: uncultured bacterium
Lineage: Bacteria
Description: partial 16S ribosomal RNA
Rfam family: Bacterial small subunit ribosomal RNA
Source: RNAcentral